GCAUGUGUGGGGUAGUGGUAACCUGGGUCGUUGCCAAAGGCGAACCUUAAGCUCGUCGACCCGCCGGGAGUUCGAUUCUCUCCGCACGCA
Molecule: non-coding RNA, 90 nt
Organism: Mycena belliarum
Lineage: Eukaryota; Fungi; Basidiomycota; Agaricomycetes; Agaricales; Mycenaceae
Source: the annotation of a GenBank genome assembly